CAAAUUGCUACAUCAUGUAUCACCUGUAUUUUGUUUUUUUGUUUUGUUUUUUUAAAAUAGAUUCCAUAAUGUGUAAGGUGCAUUAUUUCCUGACAUGCUGCAUGUGCUGAUAAAGACGUAUCGUGCACGGUGCACUCCAGAGCUGUCAUUGGCUGAGUGCUGCUGUACCCCAUGCAGGACAGCGAUAUGCUGGAGUGCAUUUGAUGAUGCUGUGCACUUGUGAGGGACUGACAAACACGAUGUGUGUUCAGCGCAUCAUCGAUACGCUCGGCUGUACAUCCUGGUUUGAAAUGGCAAGCAUUGAAGUGCACCUGCUUUGUUAGCAUUUGCAAACAGUGUGAUUAUAGAACUGGGCCAGCCCUGGCUAGAAGCGAUAAGCGGCAACUUGGGGACCUGUAGUCACUUAGGGGGCCCACGAAGGUCCUGAAAUCCCAUUAAAAAAAAUGAUUUCACUUAUUUUUCAAAGGAUGUUUUGUGGUGGGGAAAAAUUGCUUUAAACAUCCUCCUCCAACCCAUUUUCGAUGGAUAUCCCCACGCGCGCGCACACACGCGCACGUGCAAACAAAUGCACGUGCAUCAAUAGUACUAGUGGCUCAUUCUCUUGAACCGCUUAUUUAACCUGUGAAAUUUUCAGUCUGGUACUAUGAUACAGCGUUUUAAAGUGUUAAAACAUGGUAAUGUAUCUAAACUAUUUUACGAUGCCAACGUUUUUGCAACAAUUAUUUUUUAACAUGGGGUGGCAAAACGAGCUUUGGUGUCCUCACCUUUUGCGUUUUGGAAAUCCACAGGCAACAUGUGUCGAUAUAAGUCGAUAUGCUUAUCACAGCAAGAAUCCAGCAAACAAAAUCCAUAGUAAUUUUUAGUCCCAAAACAGAACCUUCAAGAGAAUGUGACCCAUUGUUUAAUUUGACAAAAAUUCUCUGGAGGAAUUAUCAGUUUCACUGUUGCAUACAUGCCAAAAAUCUUGUGUACUACAGAAUGUUGUUAUUUCUGGUUUAAGAGAUUCUCUGGAACAAAACGAGCCUUCUCUGUAAGCUGUCUCUCUGACCAGUACAGGCCAAGCAGUCCCUCACUAUAGCCAAUGAGAUCUGCAACUACUCAACAUGGACAAUGUCUGCCCAGUACACUGCCGGCCAGCGGCAAGCAAUUAGUGAAUAUUGAGUAUUUUAGAUACACCGUUAGAAAUGUAGUUUCAUUAUUACGCUUGCAUAAAAGAACACGUUUUCUCCUGCAUAAAAAAAAAAAACAUAUUUUUUCCGGUGUGGAUAGUACAUCAUACUAUCCACACUGGAAACAUUAUGCAUGAGUCUCAACGUUCUAGAGACUUCAUGCCUUCAAACGUUGUUUUACAACAAAAUUAUUUUGCAAUUAGUAUGUUAAUAACUAAUGUAUAUUUUCUACAAUCUUCCAGAAGUUGGAAAGGCAAGAAGGGGGAGGGGGAGGCUGACAGACAGCAGGAAAGCAAGCCACUACUACUUCCAUGAGCAUAUAGUAUAACGUGCACUAUAUCACCGAAGAUCAGUGUGGAAGAACUUGACUGGCCUGCACAGGGCCUUGACCUCAAACUCAUCCAACACCUCUGGGAUCGUUUGGAUAGCCAACUGCAAGGCAGGCCUAAAUGCCCAAUCAGUGCCUGACCUCACUAAUGCUGUUCUGACUGAAAGUAAGCAAAGCCCUCCAGCAAUGUUCCCACGUAUAGUAUAAAGCCAUCCCAGAAGAGUGCAGGCUGUUAUAGCAGCAAAAGGUGGACCACCUCCAUAUCAAUGCCUAUAAUUUUGGAUGAGAUGUUGGAUGUCAGGUGCUAACAUACUUUUGGCCAUGUAGUGUACGAGGAACUAUAACUGAGCUAGCAGUCCUGUAUAUUGGCCAUGUUGUGUAUAAUGAAUUUUACACCUCUAAUGACACAUCAUUUGGUUAGCAAGUGUUCGUUUGGAGUCUCCAAAAGUCUUUUUUGGAAACUUGCCUAGAUAUAGCUCUGGAAAACAAAACAACACAGAAUGCUUUGUUUUGGUGGUGUUAUCAACCUUAAACCAAGAUUUUGUCCAUCUUUGUAGCUGUGUCUGGAUUGUACUUCUAAGCCCAUCAGGCACAGCCUCAUCGCAUUUGUAUCCACUCUAAUAAAAAUGAGUUGAUGUUCA
Anguilla rostrata (American eel) is the source of this 2138-nucleotide long non-coding RNA. RefSeq lists it as uncharacterized. The record is from RefSeq and is a predicted model, not a curated record. The transcript has 2 exons. NCBI's taxonomy places the organism in Eukaryota, Metazoa, Chordata, Actinopteri, Anguilliformes, Anguillidae.